CGUUCAGGUUCAAGGUUCCCUUUCAGGGGAGAAGGGGCGCCUCUGACAGGAGAGCAGGGCCAGAGUCAGGAUCGGCUUCCUCCCGAGGGGCCCAGGGGACCUGUGUGCAGGGCAGUUUAGUUGAUGAAUCUAGAAAAGUCAGGUUCAGUGUCAGCUCUGCAGUCAAGUCCACAGUGAAAUGGGAGUCUUUGAGGAGCCUGCGUGUUUGAUGGUAGCAAGCCCCGCAGCCUGGAGGCCACUGCGGCCGACACCUAUCUGCCACCCCAAGCCUGGCCAGGAGGCCGGCAGACCCUGUGCCCGGCCCGGCUCGGGGUGACGGGCAGGGCUGUAAGCCAUCUGGGUGGGCAUUUGUGUGAAGCACUCAGACACCAACAUGACCCCAUCAGAGAAACUCAGACAAUGCAAACACACUUGGAAAAAUGGUUUAAUGAUGUUUUACAACAGAAAUGAACUGUACACUUACAGUUAAGUUUAAUAUAUAUAUAAAAAGUUACAGCAGACAAAUGCAUCUACACAAAACCUAGCAUUUCCUUCUGACUCAGCCACCCACACAGCCUCUCCCAAGCCCACAGCCCGCGGGCGGCCCAGGAGGGUCACAGGAAGGGCACUUGUAAGGAGACAGCACCACUUACGUCCCCUGACUCCUCGGGCCUCGGGAGGCAUCAGCGAAUCCCCCCAAAUGCAUAGUCCCCAUGCCAUGUUAUCAGCUGAUUCUUAUGGACUAUCCCUGGGGGGCUGGCUACCCAGCGUCUGGGGCAGUGGGGCUACACAAUAGCCACCCAGAUCGCAAAGCUGCCAGAGACGCGGAAGAGGUCCCGUGGCUCCCCAGGAGUGGCCGCUGCCUCGUAGAGCUGCGGGGCCAUGUUGGAAAGAAUCAUACACCACAUCUUAAGUUUCCACAAAAGAGAACUCAAACUCACAUUUUAAAGUUAGGCACAUAAAACAAAAAUGUGUGGGAGGCCAAGGGGCCAAUUUCCCCUCGUGUCCCUCCCUGGACAACAGUGGAAAAACACCCCUGAAUCAAUAUUUAAAAAAAAGAAAAGAAAAGAAG
This is a long non-coding RNA of Pipistrellus kuhlii (Kuhl's pipistrelle), 1051 nucleotides long. RefSeq lists it as uncharacterized. The record is from RefSeq and is a predicted model, not a curated record. Lineage: Eukaryota; Metazoa; Chordata; Mammalia; Chiroptera; Vespertilionidae. The transcript is spliced from 2 exons.